UACGGAGGGGGCUAGCGUUGUUCGGAAUUACUGGGCGUAAAGCGCACGUAGGCGGCUUUGUAAGUUAGAGGUGAAAGCCCGGGGCUCAACUCCGGAAUUGCCUUUAAGACUGCAUCGCUAGAAUUGUGGAGAGGUAAGUGGAAUUCCGAGUGUAGAGGUGAAAUGCGCAGAUAUCAGGAGGAACACCAAUGGCGAAGGCAGCACUCUGGGACGGUACUGACGCUGAGACGCGAAAGCGUGGGGAGCAAACAGG
This 253-nucleotide ribosomal RNA is filed under the name uncultured bacterium. Its description in RNAcentral is "partial 16S ribosomal RNA". It matches the Rfam family "Bacterial small subunit ribosomal RNA", at positions 524 to 776 of the family's 1533-position model. The record is from RNAcentral.